AUUGAACGCUGGCGGCAUGCUUUACACAUGCAAGUCGAACGGGCUUGGGGGCUUGCUCCCAAGUUAGUGGCGAACGGGUGAGUAAUACAUCGGAACGUACCGUGUAGUGGGGGGUAACGUAGCGAAAGUUACGCUAAUACCGCAUACAAUCUACGGAUGAAAGCAGGGGACCUUCGGGCCUUGUGCUAUACGAGCGGCCGAUGUCUGAUUAGCUAGUUGGUGAGGUAAAGGCUCACCAAGGCGACGAUCAGUAGCGGGUCUGAGAGGAUGAUCCGCCACACUGGGACUGAGACACGGCCCAGACUCCUACGGGAGGCAGCAGUGGGGGAAUUUUGGACAAUGGGCGAAAGCCUGAUCCAGCCAUGCCGCGUGUCUGAAGAAGGCCU
This 386-nucleotide ribosomal RNA is filed under the name uncultured bacterium. RNAcentral describes it as "bacterial SSU rRNA". It matches the Rfam family "Bacterial small subunit ribosomal RNA", at positions 30 to 417 of the family's 1533-position model. The record is from RNAcentral.